This is a long non-coding RNA of Neoarius graeffei (lesser salmon catfish), 1206 nucleotides long. RefSeq lists it as uncharacterized. NCBI's taxonomy places the organism in Eukaryota, Metazoa, Chordata, Actinopteri, Siluriformes, Ariidae. The transcript has 4 exons. The record is from RefSeq and is a predicted model, not a curated record.
CUUUGAUCACGCAUGCUCUCUUGGCGUCCAGCUCCUCUUCUUCUUUUUUUUCUCCCCAUCACAACAUUUCUCCUAAGUUGGAAAGUCAAGGAAAGCCUGAGCGAAGUGUUGUCCACAGUUAAACCAAUCAUUCGGGGAAAGCCAUCUCAUAUUUAAAAUGCCUGUGGUGUCAAGGUGAAGGGAUCAGCUGGCAGAGAUGUAAGUGUGUGCAGAGUGUGUGCAUGAAAAGAGACUGGAAGAGGAAGCGAUCGACAGAGAGAGCCCAGUCCAGCUGGACACAACAAGGCAGUGCCUGGCUGAUUGUGUGAGACACAUGAAAGAGCCGAGGCAUGGCCAGGGAGCCUCUAUUCAGGGCUACACUUCUCGAAAAGCUGGCCGUAUCUAACCCCUGGCGACUGGCUGGCCCUAUCACUCAAAUGUCCCAGCAGUCUUUGUGGCUUUCCCAAGACCACAGUGAAAUGAUCUCUUUUGUUGCGCAUCAUUAGUUCCAUCUGCUGUGUGAGCCUGGCUGUCUGUUGCGGGGGCAGGACGCCGUCAUGGUGGCCAGGGGGCGAGGCGAGAGACCCACGGCCCUGACGCUCGUGUCCCGACCUCCUCCUUCUCAUCCACCGCUCAGGACGCCUGCCUCUCUUUCUUUCUCUCAGCCUCUUCCUUUUUUCAUUUUCUUUAGUCUCUUUCUUUCAGUCUCGCUCUCUGUCAAUUCAAUUCAAGUCAAUUCAAAGUAGCUUUAUUGGCAUGACCAUAUUAAUAUACAGUAUUGCCAAAGCAUUCGAAUACAUUUACACACACACACACACACACACACACAUACACAGUCUUAGUAACCUUGUAGGGACCUUCCUUUGACAUAAUUAAUUCAGCUAAUUAAUGCUUUGCCUACACCUAAAUCUAACACUACCCUUAACAUCAGAAACCAAAAGGAAAUCUUUUCACUCUUUCUGUUGAACAAAAACUGCAGUUUUUAUUUCAAGUAGCAGAUUUCAUUGUUGGAACCAACCAAAUGGCCAGAAAUACCUAUCCUUGUGAGGACAUUGUGUUUUACAAUAUGUGAUCAUAUCUGAUGUAUGAAAGAAGCAGUGAUGUAAUACAAUGAUUUUGAUGCAAUACAAUAUGACACAAUGCUGCAUUUGCAUUAAAAUUCUAAUUUAUUAAAAUUCUAUCUUUUUGCCAUGGCACUUGAUAUUACCAUUGUGACCUAUAGCCAGA